RNAcentral lists this unclassified non-coding RNA (277 nucleotides) under Clostridioides difficile. RNAcentral describes it as "16S-23S ribosomal RNA intergenic spacer (ISR)". Lineage: Bacteria; Bacillati; Bacillota; Clostridia; Peptostreptococcales; Peptostreptococcaceae. The record is from RNAcentral.
ACCUACUGUUUAAUUUUGAGGGUUCGUUUUUACGAAUACUCAAAAUUAGCACUUUUAGCAACAGAAUAAACUGAACGCAUGUGAAGUUUGUUUGUUGGCGCUGUGCGUUAGCACUUUAAGCAACGGAAUUUAUUCGUUGGCGCCGUGCUUUAACACUUUGAAAACUGCAUAUAUAUUUAGUGAUAUGACAUCUAAUUUGUAAUAUAUAAAGCUGAUAACUUUUUAAAAUUAUCGAAAUUGAUAGCUUCUAAUCUAUCAAACCUUUUUAACUGGUCAA